AUAUUAUAAUUUAUUUAAUAAUAUUUAUUUUGUAGUUUAUUUUAUGAUAGAAAUAACUUUAUUUUUAGUAUUUUUUAAAGAAUAAAUAUAGUUUAUUUAUAGUUUAUUUUACUGUAAAGGUUUAUAAUAUUAUGAUUUAUAAGUAGAAUUAAUUUUUUGUACCUUUUGUAUCAGGGUUUAUUUAUAAAUUUCUAAUUAUUAUUGGUUUUCCCGAAUUUAAAGGAGCUAUUUAAUAUUGUUAUUUAGUGUUUCAAAAUUAUUAAUUAAUUUUAAAUAGUUGUUAUAUGCUAUUCAUCUUUAAAUAUCUGGUUUCUUAAUAAAUGAAUUUAAUUCAGGAUUACUAAAUUUCCAAUAAAUCAAUUUAUUUUUUUUGUUUUUAGUAAUUUAAUAUUUAAGGGGAUAAGCUCUUGAAUGUUUCUAUAAAAUAUAAUUUAUUUUAAUAUUAAGUAGGAUUGAUAAUUUCCAUCUUUUAUUUUGUUAUAAUUAUAUAUUUUUAAUUUUUAAUUUAUUUCAUGUUUUUAGUUUUUUAUUAGGAAUUAUUAAUUUAUUUUUAAUUAAUAGUUAUAAUGAUGGAAUUAGUAGAUUUUUUAAUUAAUGUACAGUAACUCGGCAAAUUUAUUUUUCACCUGUUUAACAAAAACAUGUCUUAAUGUUUUUUAUUAUUAAGUCUGGCCUGCUCAAUGAUUUUAUUAAAUAGCCGCAGUAUUUUGACUGUGCGAAGGUAGCAUAAUCAUUUGUCUUUUAAUUGAAGGCUUGUAUGAAUGGUCGGAUGAAAAAAUAACUUUCUUUACAUUAAAUGUUGAAUUUAAUUUUUUGGUUAAAAAGCUAAAAUAAUUGAAUGGGACGAGAAGACCCUAUAGAAUUUUAUUAAAUUGUAGUUUUGAAUUUAUUGGUUAAUUAUUAUUUUUAAUUAUAAUUUUAAUUUUGUUGGGGUGACAUUGAGAUUUAUUUAACUCUCAUAAUAUAAAGUUUAUUUAUUUAUAUAUAAAAGAUCCUAUUUUAUGGAUUAAUAGAUUAAAUUACCUUAGGGAUAACAGCGUAAUUUUUCUGGAGAGUUCUUAUCAAUAGAAAAGUUUGCGACCUCGAUGUUGGAUUAAAAUUAGAUUUAAGUGCAGAAGCUUAAUUUUCUAGGUCUGUUCGACCUUUAAAUUUUUACAUGAUCUGAGUUCAGACCGGCGUGAGCCAGGUCGGUUUCUAUCUUUUUAAUUAUUAUUGUAAAUUAGUACGAAAGGACCAUUUACUUCAAAUAUUUUGUUUUAUUAUUUGUAUAUUUUUAA
This 1277-nucleotide ribosomal RNA is filed under the name Graphosoma rubrolineatum. Its description in RNAcentral is "16S ribosomal RNA". The stretch from base 841 to 1200 matches the Rfam family "Archaeal large subunit ribosomal RNA", at positions 2154 to 2712 of the family's 2987-position model. The record is from RNAcentral. Lineage: Eukaryota; Metazoa; Arthropoda; Insecta; Hemiptera; Pentatomidae.